Molecule: non-coding RNA, 31 nt
Filed under: Rattus norvegicus (Norway rat)
Lineage: Eukaryota; Metazoa; Chordata; Mammalia; Rodentia; Muridae
Source: RNAcentral
UNUGGCUAGCCAAUUUGACUUCCCUGAAUGC